This 1620-nucleotide long non-coding RNA is filed under the name Salmo salar (Atlantic salmon). Its description in RNAcentral is "lncRNA (ENSSSAG00000097598.1)". The record is from RNAcentral. Lineage: Eukaryota; Metazoa; Chordata; Actinopteri; Salmoniformes; Salmonidae.
AGGCAGUCCACCAAUCUCAUUACUGCCAUCACUUGGGAUUAAUGACAUUCCCGCCGAGGAUUUAGGUUCAGCGUGUGUGUGAGAGGGAGGCCUUCACAAUACGUGAUGUCCAUGCCUAUCCCCACCUUGUCUCACCUUGCCACUGCAGCGCCCUUCCUUCCUUCCUCCUCCCCCAAUUCCCACUAAAUCUCUCCCAACAUUGGCUCUCCAGUGAGGAUUCCCGCUCCCUCUCUUAUUAGAUUCUACUGCUCACCGGUUGGCUGGGAAGAAAUGGCCUGAUUCUCCAAGAGGUGAACCAGAGGGAAAAGGAACAGUCAAGGGAGGGAAGGAGAGAGAGGACUGUGGAUGGAGAGGCAUAGUAAAGAGAUAGAGAUGAGGGGUAGAUGAUGAUGAUGAUGGUGAUAAGUGAAUUUAGCUGUCUAUGAACAGUUUGGGUGAAGAUUAGGUGAACAAUAAUUUCUCUAGUUCCAGUCUUUCUCUCCUUUAUGAGGACAAACCCUCUCUAAGCAUCUUCACUGCCAGUGCUGUGUCCUGUCUGUUAAUUGGUAAAGGACGACAGUGAUUAGUUUGCUAUUGGAUGGUCCUGCCCAUUGAGCCCUGCCCAGUGUGAAUGGGCCCUGCCAUAUGUGAAUGGGCCCUGCCAUAGUGUGAAUGGGCCCUGCCCAGUGUGAAUGGGCCCUGCCACAGUGUGAAUGGGCCCUGCCACAGUGUGAAUGGGCCCUGCCACAGUGUGAAUGGGCCCUGCCACAGUGUGAAUGGGCCCUGCCACAGUGUGAAUGGGCCCUGCCACAGUGUGAAUGGGCCCUGCCCAGUGUGAAUGGGACCUGCCACAGUGUGAAUGGGACCUGCCACAGUGUGGAGUCUUGCUGGGGCUGUGUGACUGUGGCUGGCUGGCUGUCCUCCCAUGUUGACAGAUUUAUUAUGGUCUGUUUGCCUCUGUUUACCCAGACAAACAUUCACUCUGACUGCAACAGAAGUAAACACAUUUCCUUGUGUGUGAGUAGCUGGCAGCUAAGGCUGAAAUGGAGCUUGGUGACAUCAUCAGAUAUCGGCUACCCAUUGACUCUGAAAAACUCUGAUUUUCCAUGUGUUGAGACACACACACACACACACACACACACACACUUUUUGCCCUGGGCACAUAGAACUGGAGACCCAGGUCCAGCAGUACAGGGUCCAUUAAGAACAGCAUGUUCUUUUGGGGAUAAUGUUGUUGGCAGCAACAGGUCUACUAUGAGACAGGUCCAGAACCAAAGGAGCACAAAGGAAGUCAUGUCUGUGCUGACCCAGAUAUGUCCUCCAGGCAGAGUGGCGGACAGGGAGGACAGGGAAAUGACAAAGGGCACGGUGAUCCGAUUAAACCUGGCCUCAACGCUCCGCUCACCGGUAAAGACCAGUUCUGUCUACAGUGUCUCGCUCUGUACAUUGACUCCCUCUGACCAAAUGUCUCUCUCUCCCUCUCCCCUUGUGAUUCAAAUGGGUUCUAAGUUGAGCAGCAGACAGAAAGAGUGGCACGAGGGAGAGGUAGAAUGGGAGAGGUAAUGGGAGAGAGAGAGGAGAAGGAGAGAAAGUAAAGCGUAGGAAAGAAAGAGGGACAUGGUCCAGUCAGCUGAAGAGCGG